This is a long non-coding RNA of Rhipicephalus sanguineus (brown dog tick), 431 nucleotides long. RefSeq lists it as uncharacterized. NCBI's taxonomy places the organism in Eukaryota, Metazoa, Arthropoda, Arachnida, Ixodida, Ixodidae. The transcript is spliced from 2 exons. The record is from RefSeq and is a predicted model, not a curated record.
GAGAGCACCAAUGGAGUCUUGAACAAGAAAGAAAAACAAGAGAAAAAAGAAACAGCACAGAUUUAUUGAUCAUAUACUCAGCGCUCAAAUUUCUAUAAAAGGGACCAUCACUUUAGGAACAGCAUACAGCCCCCUGCGAGUUGCGCUAAACAUGGGAAACAUUUCAAGCUUCUGCUUCAUGCUCAUAUUGACCGCAUUCUUAUUCUGGCAGUGAUACAAGAAGAUGGCGGCUCUCUUGUCCUUGCAGGACGUCGACGACGAGGAGGAGGUGGAGGAGCAGGCUAUCAUGGUGGACGGAGAGGCGGCCUUGGCGGAGGCGGUGGAGGCGGUCAAACGAGCAUGGGUCGAUAAGCCACUUCAAAACAAACACAUUGGAGGCUGCCCACCGGCGUUGUCAAUAUGCACCCAAUAAACAGCUACAAGCUCGUUCA